UUGUUCAUUGCGAGUUUUCAUAUUUUAAUAUUAUCGUACAAUAACUUCAUUAUCGAAUUUCAAAAAUAUAUCUUUCUCUACAUAAACAAUUGUGCUAUCAUUCAUCACAAAUUCACAAUUUCACAAUUUCAAUUCACAGUCCAAUUCACAAUUUCACAUAAUGAAUUUGCAGUCCAAUACCAAUAUUUACUAUCAAUCCAGUGCAACUCACAUUUCACAAUGCAAUUUACAAUUCACAAUUUUACAUUAUCAAUUCACCGUCCAAUUCGCAAUUUCACAAUGCAAUUUAUACUAUUUCCAAAUCUUAAGCAACUUGAACUUACAAUUUCACAGUCCACUGGAAGCCGGGAAGCCUGCUGUCCGUACCUCUUUGAGCAAUCGAAGUCCAAAGUGCUAAUUACAUUUCAUAUGUUAAAAACAAAAAAGAAUUCAAAAUAACAACAAAUAAGGGAAAAAAAAAUUCAAAAUCACUAGACACUGCCAAUCUGCCAUACUAGUGAAAAAUUGAAAUUGGGAGGGACUUUACCUUCUUCUAGCUUCUUUCGUUGGGUUGGCUGCCUCAAAUUGCUGGAAGAAUAGCCGGUUCUGGUGGCGGUUUAAGGAUGGCGGCGAAUGAGCGACUAGAGUCGGCGACGGAGAUUAGAGUGCCUAGUCUAGGAGAUGCCGGACUGGAAGUCUGGAAUGGUUGGAAAGUGGCAGUGACCGGCACCGACAGAGAGGAAGUGGCGACCGGUCCGAACGAGACGAACUCACGAGAGACACGAAGGGAAGGGUUUUGAUUUCAGUUUUCAAAUGGAUGAAAUAU
Molecule: long non-coding RNA, 805 nt
Filed under: Olea europaea (common olive)
Lineage: Eukaryota; Viridiplantae; Streptophyta; Magnoliopsida; Lamiales; Oleaceae
Description: long non-coding RNA (OEUR_LNC009077)
Source: RNAcentral